UUCAAGGUAGUCUUGCUAGUUACCAAGCAACAUUUUGUGUAGCAUUGUAUAGAAUUAUGCACUGCUAGUUUGACUAAUACAGAUUGAAUGCAUGGUAAUGACUUUGUUUUUGUAUUUCACUUUCAUUCAAGUACCUUCUCUCUUCUCCUAUAUCAGUUUGUAGUAGCUAUUGUAGGAUGAUAUUACAGCUUAAUCCUGAUAUGCUUUCUUAAUAGGAAACAACUAUUUUCUGUUGUGGAUUAUUUUCGUUCAUUUAUAUAUCGAAAGAUUUGCACAACUCAAUUGGAUGAGAAAGUACAGAAUUCUCCUCAAUGAAGUAUGGAGCACAAGUGGACCGGGCCUCAUUAGGAAGAGUACGAGCAAAGGUGUUUUCUUUUCUGUUAGUAUGAGCAAAGGUGUGUUCUCAUCAGCAUGUGCUAAGAUGUAAUUAAGGUUACAGAGGAAACAGGGAAUGGGAAUUGAACAACUGAGGAUUUGUAUGAGCUCCAGAAUGUCAGAUUUGACCAAAACAUUGCAAAGCUUUAGCUGCUGCUUUUUCUGUAACCUGUCCAAGACAGCCCAGCAUUCAGGAUGAAGGGGACUGCUUGCAUGAUGGGUGGUGCUAGCACUAGCAAUGGUGGCCCCUUGAAAUUUUAGAAACGGAUUUCAAAACCUGCAAGAGAUUUAAGAUUAGAGAAGGAUCUGUCACACAAAAGUGAAAGCAAAGACUCCACCUUGUUAGAUUCCCUUCCAUAUGCAAGUGGAGAGUGAGGGUCCUCAGAGCUUUUAGGGGAGACUAAACAUAAAACUUUGAACCAUAGGGUUAUUAAUUGGGAUGUGCGGCUGCUGUAUCUAGAGUGUUUUUAUGUUCUUCCGGAGGAAAUGCUUAUGAUAGAAGCAAUGGUAGUAGGGUAAGAUUUGCCCAAAUGACUUCACUCACUAAGCCAAUCUCCAUUGGGCCAGAUCAGGAGAAUAUUAUAUUGCUUACUUUUA
Molecule: non-coding RNA, 972 nt
Organism: Musa acuminata subsp. malaccensis (wild Malaysian banana)
Lineage: Eukaryota; Viridiplantae; Streptophyta; Magnoliopsida; Zingiberales; Musaceae
Source: RefSeq, a predicted model, not a curated record